GGGUACCAUUUCUAGAUGGUCACUUUGAUUGGUACAGAAAUUUAUUCCUGUACUACCAGCUUAGGUUCGGACCUAUGAGGUCACACACAUUAGAUUUCAUGAUCCGAUCGGAUGGUUGAUCAAUGAUUAAGAAUCGUUCUAGGGUUAAAUGAUCAAUACGAUUGACAUUUAACCCAGUGCAAGUGUUGCAGGAGGAUCGAUUAGCAAUUCGAUUGCUAAUUGAUUUAAUUUGAUUAAGCCAAUGGGCUGAGAUUAAGUCUAAUUAAAUAUAAUUUAAUUAGAUUUAGUUUGGACUUGAUUGGAUCAAGUCCAAUUAGUUUAUUGGAUAAGCCAAGUGCAAGGAAAAACUAGUCCUAGUUCAACUAGGACUUGGGUCAAUCUAAUUUCUAAUUUGAUUAAAAAAUUAAAUCAGAU
RNAcentral lists this long non-coding RNA (414 nucleotides) under Elaeis guineensis (African oil palm). RNAcentral's name for it is "long non-coding RNA (EGUI_LNC054469)". The record is from RNAcentral. Lineage: Eukaryota; Viridiplantae; Streptophyta; Magnoliopsida; Arecales; Arecaceae.